UUUAUUAUUAAGAAACCAAGUAAGAUAAGGGUAGAAGCUGGGGUGGUGCUUUUUUUAUAGUGCUGUACGUGAUUUUAUUGUGUUAAUUACCUAUCCAUACUAUCGAGGAGAGACAGCGGAGCAUACUAUAUAUAAAUACUGAGAAUUAACUCCAAAUCUGUUAAAUCUGUUUCUGAAGAAACAUACGAUGGAGUGGCAGGGUGGUGGUGAUGCAGGUAGCGAAGCUCGUUUACCUCAAAUUAUUGAACCAAAUGAAGGUAGCCAACAGAAAUCGCCAAAAACUAGAUUAGUAAAUUUAUUGGAUGAAGUUGAAAUGCAUGUCGAACGGCUACGAAGAGAUGCAAUGAAACUGGAAGAAGAGAAAGACAGACUUCUAGCUACCCUGGACUCCCUUCGGAAUUCGGAAAUUAUGAUAGAUCUAGGAGAUAGUGAACGUGAUGAUGUGCUGCACUCUGUGGAACACAUUGCUAACCGCUGUUUGACAGUAGACAUUCUAGUGAAGACAACGCGUGAUAAUACACAAGAAGAUGCAUUGCACCAGGUCAACAGUUUCAUUGAUGGUUUGGUGAAGAGUCUGCAGAGUGACCCAGAUGGAACCAAAACACGAUGUCUUGCCUUUAUGAAUGCCUGCUCCCCACAUACUCAUGGUACUGCUGAUAAAAAUUUUGAGGCUGCCAUCUUGGGUUGUACAUUAGAUGACCAGAAACGGGUCAAGAAACGUCUACAAGGACUUCUGGACUAUAUAGAUGAAGCAACACGUUUUGGUUAGAAUAGGGCUCCCUCCCCCCUCCAGGAAUGGUGUUUGAGAAAUGUUAUGUCUCCUUGUCUCCUUAGGCAUCAUGUAAAAAUGUCAGCACUUCCCAUAGACAUGAUUACAGAUUUUUGAUUUCCAUUCAGCAUAUGACACACAUGCUGGAAACAGUGCUUGUGAUGAGACUGACUGCCCUGCUGCUCAGCCUAUAUUUGUGACAACAUUUAACAUCUAGCAGCAGCUUCAGUGAUGUUUGUUACUGAACACACACCUUGUGUAUUUUUAAGAUUCAAGCAUUGUAAUGUGGUUAUAUAAGUAAAUUACUUUUAAAAUUAAAAAUUGUAGGUGUAUCUUUACUGCAGUAUAUCUACCAGUAACAGUCUUACAAAAUAAUGGGCCUAUUUGGUAUGAAACUUCAUCUGUUACCAAUGUUCUCGUGACAUUUGUGUCUCUCCCCCCAUUUGGACCCAACAGAGACAUUAACACAAAGUAAAGUAUAGUAUUUAAAAUUGGAAGCCAUGCUGUUUUGUUAUUUAAAUGAGGAAUGUCCAACUUUCCACACAGCAGUUAGUUUUGUGUGGCCUAUGACAGUAGCCUUUCCUUCCUCACAUUUAUGAGCUGUGGUUUCCCUUCUUUUUAAGAAUAACAGCAAAACUUGUUUAAAAACUGUAUGUGGAGUGAAGUUUUUCAGUGAACUUCACAUGACACAAUAACACAGAAAAGUAGGAAAUUGGUAUGAUUCCAUGAACAUAUGCAGUAUCAGUGAAAUCUAGCAAAUCUUCACAGCUAAUUUUUAAGUUCUGUUAACCUGGGAGAUAUUUAUAUCAGAAUAUUGUAAAAUUAUAUUCUUUAUGAUACAUUCUGUGGUUAAUUAAGGUAUAAUGGUUUACAGUUGGAUAGCCCUGAUUUAAACUGAAAUAACCUGUCUCUGAAUGUGAAUUUGCUAGAGAAAUGCAAAUGUUAUUCCAAAUACUAGAGCAUUUCUAACUUCAUGUGGGUACUCAGUAGCGUAGUUGGUUGAGGGACUGCUACAGGCUCGAAGGUCAUGGGUUCAAUUUCCUAUGAGUCACUGGAUUU
Molecule: RNA transcript, 1828 nt
Organism: Cryptotermes secundus
Lineage: Eukaryota; Metazoa; Arthropoda; Insecta; Blattodea; Kalotermitidae
Gene name: BAG family molecular chaperone regulator 2
Exons: 4
Source: RefSeq, a predicted model, not a curated record